CCAGUAGCUCAGUUGGUUAGAGCAUCCGGCUCAUAACCGGACGGUCCAGGGUUCGAGUCCCCGCUGGUC
Molecule: transfer RNA, 69 nt
Filed under: pig gut metagenome
Rfam family: tRNA
About the family: Transfer RNA (tRNA) molecules are approximately 80 nucleotides in length.
Source: RNAcentral